AUUAUCCUGAGAUAACUCAGAAACAGAAAGUCAAAUACUGCAUGUUCUCACUUAUAAGUGGAAGCUAAGUAAUGGGUGCACAUGGAUAUACAGAGUGAAAUAAUACACAUUGGAGACUACAAAAAGGUGCACAGCUGGAUGGCUUCUGUUCUAGAGGCAGCCUAAGGUCCUGGAAUUUCAACAAAGUAUACUUCAAGCAAGAAGCAUUGGAUUCAAAGUGGAAUCUAGAAAGACUUCCAACCAGGUGGUGUUCCCAGAUGGAACAAUGCUUUAUUAGCAUCAUUAACAAAAAUACCAUGAUUGAAAAGAAUAAUUAGCUGUUUGACACUCUUCCGGAUAUUGUUUUUGUCACUUAACAACAUAACUUGGUGAUCCUCCCAGAGCAGAAAAGCUCUCCCAGAUAUGUUUCAGGGCAGCGUAACCUUCCUUGUUCUUCCUUCACUGAGCAUGUUAUAUGUGGAAAGAACACAUCCUCACUUGGGGAAACCAGAUAAAUUGUUUAAAUUAUUGCAAAUGUGAAUGAUUUUAAUGUAGAAAUAACCUUUUUCAUUCCACAUUAAUCACAAAUACUGUUCACAACCCUUCGUAAUAAACUUGUCUCUGC
This 604-nucleotide long non-coding RNA is filed under the name Pan troglodytes (chimpanzee). RNAcentral describes it as "long non-coding RNA NONPTRT012945". The record is from RNAcentral. Lineage: Eukaryota; Metazoa; Chordata; Mammalia; Primates; Hominidae.